GCGCGGAGCCUGGCCCAGCAGGGACGUUGGUCCAGCGUGGCCCUCCCAGGCCAGCCCAGGGAUUUACGCUCCGCCCUGGCUCUGCAAGCCCUUUGUGAGUCUCUGGUGGCCAGCUCAGAAUGACCAAAGCAGGGCGGGCUUUCUAUGGUCAUUUCUUUACCGCACAUGACAUAAACCACCCGAGAGCCCCAGUGAACGGCAGGAGAAAUGAACAUCUUUGGGAAAGUUUGGUGGAAAACCAGCCCGUAGAGCCGUGAGAGACACAGGAUUCACUUUUGGCACUCUCGCCUGGCUCAGCCACCUGGAAUCAAGGAAGACAGCACAGUGCUGACCCCACGCUCCUGCCAAUGCUCACUUCCUCCCCUGGGGUCAUUUCCCAGGAGCAGAGCUGCAGGCCGGGGCCUCUGUCUGCCUGUGGUAGGCACCCACACUCAUUCUCAUCUGGUUCCUUGUAAGUCUUCUAUUGCAAAAUCUUCUCAGGACUUGGAGACAUGCUAUUCUCGGUUUCCCCAAUAACAAAAUGAAAGUGCAAAGGUGCCGUGUCAGCAGGUGGGCCGUGGACUUCGCACCUGGGUGAUGGUGAACCUGCCUCCAAAAUUGCCAUGGGUCCAAAGAGGCGCCAAUUCCUGGCAAAACUGAUGACAUUUAUGAAUUUUAUUUCUGGUUGCAACCUGAUUUUGUUAUGGACCUAUACUGACGUCAGUAAUAAACAAUAAUAAGAUUGUAAACUAUUGCUCUUUAUAAUAAAAUAAUGCCUCUUGGCUGUAUUAUAAAUCUAA
Molecule: long non-coding RNA, 779 nt
Filed under: Homo sapiens (human)
Lineage: Eukaryota; Metazoa; Chordata; Mammalia; Primates; Hominidae
Description: HSALNT0395141
Source: RNAcentral